UACGGAGGGUGCGAGCGUUGUCCGGAAUCACUGGGCGUAAAGGGCGCGUAGGCGGCGCGGGAAGUCCGUGGUGAAAGCCCGAGGCUCAACUUCGGGUCGGCCAUGGAUACUCCUGGGCUCGAGCACUGUAGAGGCAGGUGGAAUUCCGGGUGUAGCGGUGGAAUGCGUAGAGAUCCGGAAGAACACCGGUGGCGAAGGCGGCCUGCUGGGCAGUGGCUGACACUGAGGCGCGACAGCGUGGGGAGCAAACAGG
Molecule: ribosomal RNA, 253 nt
Filed under: uncultured bacterium
Lineage: Bacteria
Description: partial 16S ribosomal RNA
Rfam family: Bacterial small subunit ribosomal RNA
Source: RNAcentral